UCGGCGUCAUUCAGAGGAAAUCUCGGCGGCCUGCACGGCGGGAUCAUUGCACAGCGAGCAGAAGGGGCCGCUAGAAGAGCAGCUUUCUCCAUAGACGAGUGCAGGAGCCACGUACCUCUAUUGCACAAAGAGCCGUGUUUAAAAUAACACGCAGCCCUAAGGCUGGCUCUCUGCACGUCUGCAAGGGAGAAGUGCUCCUGCCUCAAAUCUGCACGUGGGAAGACGUGCUAAUGGGAGGGUUUUUCAAAGGCGCUGGACGCCCGCCGGUCCUGCCCGAGCCCCUGGGAACGGCGGAUGUUCAGUGCCUUUCGCACCCAGCACACGUCAGGAUGCUGGGCUCUUCCCCGAUCCAGACCGGCGAGGUGCUCGGGACGCCGGGGCUCCUGUUUUGAGACGCGCGUUGACAUUACCUUGAACUUCUUUGUUUCUUCCUUCCUAGUCUGCUCGGCAGUCUGGCGAGUGGUUUGCUGAACAGCACGCUUCGCACCCUCUUGCCGACGCUGCUGUGUCCCGUGGUCAAUAUUUGGGUCAACCUCAUCAACAUGAAGCUGCACUUCCUUGACAGCACCAUCUCCUUUGGGCUGCUGAGCAAAAUCCACUCUGCCCUCUCCGCCUUGCCCGUGUCCACGGGGCAGUUCUUUGAAGUGGACUUGCAGGAUGCACCUUUCCCGAGCACCUUCAUCAACUGGCUCCUGCAGGCCUCAGGUGUCAACCCUGCAGCGCUCAGCCCGUGACCUCCUUCCCGGCAGACCCCAGCAGGCAACCCAGGGGCUUCUCCUGGCGUCUGACCGCUCCGGGAAAUCCUGCUGGUGGAAGAAACUUGCACCCCUUGGAAGCGUCCCACGUGAUGGAGGGGGAGAAGAGCGAGACCGAAGGAACCUGCACUAGACCUCUUUUCCUUGCCGCCAGCAUUUCCAGUGCUUGGCCGCACACCAAAGACGUCGUGCUGUUUCCGGCGAUUUGAGUUCAAAACCAAAAAAGCAUAAUCCAAAUGCACAGGUAGCAAGCAUGUGGGCAAGCAUUUACACCUGGAAAUGAUCAGAAUCAGUGUUACCCCAGCAAAUAAUCUCCAUGUGGCUUUGGGUGAGCAUUGCAUUGCAUUGCAUCGCAUCGCGGGUUGGGUGUUUCGCAUCUCUUGUGUUUCUCUUUCCAAUAAAAGAUCCUU
Alligator mississippiensis (American alligator) is the source of this 1165-nucleotide long non-coding RNA. RefSeq lists it as uncharacterized. The transcript is spliced from 6 exons. Lineage: Eukaryota; Metazoa; Chordata; Crocodylia; Alligatoridae. The record is from RefSeq and is a predicted model, not a curated record.